AGGCAGAGUCAUNCUUAGGAAUCUGCCUAUUAGUGGGGGACAACGUUCCGAAAGGAACGCUAAUACCGCAUACGUCCUACGGGGGAAAGCAGGGGAUCUUCGGACCUUGCGCUAAUAGAUGAGCCUAAGUCGGAUUAGCUAGUUGGUGGGGUAAAGGCCUACCAAGGCGACGAUCUGUAGCGGGUCUGAGAGGAUGAUCCGCCACACUGGGACUGAGACACGGCCCAGACUCCUACGGGAGGCAGCAGUGGGGAAUAUUGGACAAUGGGCGCAAGCCUGAUCCAGCCAUGCCGCGUGUGUGAAGAAGGCCUUUUGGUUGUAAAGCACUUUAAGCGAGGAGGAGGCUCCUUUAGUUAAUACCUAAAGAGAGUGGACGUUACUCGCAGAAUAAGCACCGGCUAACUCUGUGCCAGCAGCCGCGGUAAUACAGAGGGUGCGAGCGUUAAUCGGAUUUACUGGGCGUAAAGCGUGCGUAGGCGGCUUUUUAAGUCGGAUGUGAAAUCCCUGAGCUUAACUUAGGAAUUGCAUUCGAUACUGGAGAGCUAGAGUAUGGGAGAGGAUGGUAGAAUUCCAGGUGUAGCGGUGAAAUGCGUAGAGAUCUGGAGGAAUACCGAUGGCGAAGGCAGCCAUCUGGCCUAAUACUGACGCUGAGGUACGAAAGCAUGGGGAGCAAACAGGAUUAGAUACCCUGGUAGUCCAUGCCGUAAACGAUGUCUACUAGCCGUUGGGGCCUUUGAGGCUUUAGUGGCGCAGCUAACGCGAUAAGUAGACCGCCUGGGGAGUACGGUCGCAAGACUAAAACUCAAAUGAAUUGACGGGGGCCCGCACAAGCGGUGGAGCAUGUGGUUUAAUUCGAUGCAACGCGAAGAACCUUACCUGGCCUUGACAUACUAAGAACUUUCCAGAGAUGGAUUGGUGCCUUCGGGAACUUAGAUACAGGUGCUGCAUGGCUGUCGUCAGCUCGUGUCGUGAGAUGUUGGGUUAAGUCCCGCAACGAGCGCAACCCUUUUCCUUAUUUGCCAGCGGGUCAUGCCGGGAACUUNAAGGAUACUGCCAGUGACAAACUGGAAGGAAGGCGGGGACCAACGCCAAGUCAUC
This 1098-nucleotide ribosomal RNA is filed under the name Acinetobacter sp. RNAcentral's name for it is "bacterial SSU rRNA". It matches the Rfam family "Bacterial small subunit ribosomal RNA", at positions 103 to 1194 of the family's 1533-position model. Lineage: Bacteria; Pseudomonadati; Pseudomonadota; Gammaproteobacteria; Moraxellales; Moraxellaceae. The record is from RNAcentral.